Molecule: ribosomal RNA, 301 nt
Filed under: uncultured bacterium
Lineage: Bacteria
Description: partial 16S ribosomal RNA
Rfam family: Bacterial small subunit ribosomal RNA
Source: RNAcentral
CAGUAGCCGCGGGAAUACGUAGGUCCCGAGCGUUGUCCGGAUUUAUUGGGCGUAAAGGGAGCGCAGGCAGUUUAGUAAGUCUGAAGUUAAAGGCAUUGGCUCAACCAAUGUAUGCUUUGGAAACUGUUAGACUUGAGUGCAGAAGGGGAGAGUGGAAUUCCAUGUGUAGCGGUGAAAUGCGUAGAUAUAUGGAGGAACACCGGUGGCGAAAGCGGCUCUCUGGUCUGUCACUGACGCUGAGGCUCGAAAGCGUGGGUAGCGAACAGGAUUAGAUACCCCCGUAGUCCCUGUCUCUAUACAC